This is a long non-coding RNA of Salvia miltiorrhiza (redroot sage), 241 nucleotides long. RefSeq lists it as uncharacterized. Lineage: Eukaryota; Viridiplantae; Streptophyta; Magnoliopsida; Lamiales; Lamiaceae. The record is from RefSeq and is a predicted model, not a curated record. The transcript has 2 exons.
GAAGACACAAGCAGAGCAAGGAAGUAAGUAACUCCGCUUUGACGGGAGUUUUUGAGUAAGGUCUUCAGGCUAAGCAAGGAGUGAGAUUGGUCUGGUGCUGGUGGGGGAUCGUUAGAUGACGUAUUUGCUUUAUCGUAUUUCCUUUUUAUCGAUAAAGUCUUGAUGUGAAGUUACUUUGAAUAUGAAUCAAGUAAUAUACUCACGGUUGUGUGUCUCCAUACAUGUAACCGGUUCGCCUUUU